RNAcentral lists this ribosomal RNA (460 nucleotides) under uncultured bacterium. RNAcentral's name for it is "partial 16S ribosomal RNA". It matches the Rfam family "Bacterial small subunit ribosomal RNA", at positions 338 to 795 of the family's 1533-position model. The record is from RNAcentral.
CCUACGGGUGGCAGCAGUGCGGAAUAUUGGUCAAUGGACGAGAGUCUGAACCAGCCCAGUAGCGUGAAGGAUGACUGCCCUAUGGGUUGUAAACUUCUUUUAUAUGGGAAUACAAUGUUCCACGUGUGGGAUUUUGUCUGUACCUUAUGAAUAAGGAUCGGCUAACUCCGUGCCAGCAGCCGCGGUAAGUAGGAGGAUUCGAGCGUUAUCCGGAUUUAUUGGGUUUAAAGGGAGCGUAGGGGGAUUGUUAAGUCAGGUGUGAAAGUUUGCGGCUCAACCGUAAAAUUGCAGUUGAAACGGGCAGUCUUGAGUACAGUAGAGGUGGGCGGAAGUCGGGGUGUAGCGGUGAAAUGCUUAGAAAUCACGAAGAACUCCGAGUGCGAAGGCAGUUCACUGGACUGCAACUGACACUGAGGCUCGAAAGUGUGGGUAUCAAACAGGAGUAGAUACCCCAGUAGUC